Molecule: ribosomal RNA, 253 nt
Filed under: uncultured bacterium
Lineage: Bacteria
Description: partial 16S ribosomal RNA
Rfam family: Bacterial small subunit ribosomal RNA
Source: RNAcentral
UACAGAGGGUGCAAGCGUUAUUCGGAAUUAUUGGGCAUAAAGCGCAUGUAGGUGGUUUGAUAAGUUUGAUGUGAAAGCCCCGGACUCAAUUCGGGAAGUGCAUUGAAUACUGUCAGGCUAGAGUAUGGGAGAGGUGAGCGGAAUUCCAGGUGUAGAGGUGAAAUUCGUAGAUAUCUGGAGGAACAACAGAGGCGAAGGCGGCUCACUGGACCAUUACUGACACUGAGAUGCGAAAGCGUGGGGAGCAAACAGG